CAGCCGCCACGGGAAUACGUAGGGUGCAAGCGUUGAUCGGAAUUACUGGGCGUAAAGCGUGCGCAGGCGGUUAUAUAAGUCAGAUGUGAAAUCCCCGGGCUCAACCUGGGAACUGCAUUUGAGACUGUAUGGCUAGAGUGUGUCAGAGGGGGGUAGAAUUCCACGUGUAGCAGUGAAAUGCGUAGAUAUGUGGAGGAAUACCGAUGGCGAAGGCAGCCCCCUGGGAUAACACUGACGCCCAUGCACGAAAGCGUGGGGAGCAAACAGGAUUAGAUACCCCGGUAGUCCCUGUCUCUUAUAC
This 301-nucleotide ribosomal RNA is filed under the name uncultured bacterium. Its description in RNAcentral is "partial 16S ribosomal RNA". It matches the Rfam family "Bacterial small subunit ribosomal RNA", at positions 509 to 807 of the family's 1533-position model. The record is from RNAcentral.